Molecule: long non-coding RNA, 1370 nt
Filed under: Volvox carteri
Lineage: Eukaryota; Viridiplantae; Chlorophyta; Chlorophyceae; Chlamydomonadales; Volvocaceae
Description: long non-coding RNA (VCAR_LNC004393)
Source: RNAcentral
GAUGAGUGCGUUGAAAAUUGGAAUGGUCUAUAGGCCGUGCCAAGGUAUAAUAGAAAGGCCUGGAAAUAGAUGGUCUAAAGAUGUUCCUCAAUUUUACAGACGCGAAAGUAGGAUGUCAGCUUCCUUUAAAUGUGAAAAGGGCGGGGCCCCUCGCUGCGAUACACCUGUAUAAGUUGGUUGCUUCAAGCGAUGAUAACUUUAGUUCAUCUUCUACGGGAACUAAAGGGGAAGAAGAAGAAGAACUUUCGGGGAUAAACCAAGGCGGUAAUUUCCGUUGGCCUCCAAUCCCUCCUAGCCUUUGUGCUUAGAGUGAGGAGGACGGGUGUCUGAGUAAGCGGGAGGGGAGGGGGGACGUCGAAGGGCGAGUAUUAAAGCGCCGCCCCAGUUGCCCGAUAGCGCACGUUUCGCGAUACAAAUAAGAUAAGCUGGAAAUGAAUUACUGGGCGCAAUAGGCGGCCGUGCCGUUGACCACGUCGUUCUAAAACCGCCAUAGAGAGAAGGCGUUUAUGUCCAUACGUGCAAUGUUUUGUUCGCCAAUCGAUUAAUGGAGAUUAAAAGAUGGUGUUAUAAUACAUUGACCAUGAGCCUCAUUGAGCCGUAAGCUUGGUUUGGUUAUAACGGACGAACUGCGGACCCAGGCGAGGAAUGCCAAAUACAGAAGUACGGAGGGCCCUAUGCCAACCACGGAUAUCACACCAGGACGAGACAGUCCGAGUUUUGGCCAUUCCAGCACAGAAUGCAGAGUCAGACAACAGGUACCAACUAAGCUUUAUUAAGACGGAUUACAGAAAAUAGACGACGAGAAAGACUAGAAAAAGUCGAGGUCGCAAGUCGCUUGACGAGCGAUCUUCGAUUGCCUUUAUCUUUUCUUUUGCCUACAAUAGGACGCCGUCUCUUAUAUAUAUGAGCUGACAACAACAACGGCGGCGCGCGGAUCAACAUUGCGGGACGACGACAUCCAUGCAAGUAAGUGAAGCGCGCGAACACCGCGCGGGUGGUUGGGUUGGUUCGGCCUUGAGUGGAGGCUCCUGAAUAGUGGGUCCUGUUGCUUGUCGGUGGGCGGGGUGAAUUCUAAUUGGGUUCGCGAGGUCCGUCGGUUAGUAGGAAAGGGAGUGUUAUUUCGGCCUCCCACAGUUGGCUAGGCUUCAGCUAGGAGACCGUUUUGCCGAGAGCAGCUCUUGGUUGGCAAUGGUCGCGAGUGACUUAGUUGGCGUUCUUUGCCUUGAGUUCGCCGGAUUUACCCUGUUAUCCUCGCGAGUCGCCGGACAGCCCGGUGAAAGAUACCUACCAACAGAACAGAUACCCAACGUGUGAAUGCGUAAAGGACAAAGAGCAAAACAGGCCGACAGGAUGGCUUCAAGAAGUCUGCA